AGAAUACCGUUGAGUGCGAGCUUGGGAGACAGACAUCGGGUGCUAACGUCCGGUGUCAAGAGGGAAACAACCCAGACCGCCGAUUAAGGUCCCAAAGACAUAGUUAAGUGGGAAACGAGGUGGGAAGGCUUAGACAGCCAGGAGGUUGGCUUAGAAGCAGCCAUCCUUUAAAGAAAGCGUAAUAGCUCACUGGUCGAGUCGUCCUGCGCGGAAGAUGUAACGGGGCUCAAACUAUGCACCGAAAUCGCGGAUAUCCGCAAGGAUAUGGUAGGAGAGCGUUCUGUAAGCCGAUGAAGGUGUCUUGAGAAGGAUGCUGGAGGUAUCAGAAGUGCGAAUGCUGACAUGAGUAGCGAUAAAGGGAGUGAAAAGCUCCCUCGCCGAAAGCCCAAGGUUUCCUGCGCAACGUUCAUCGGCGCAGGGUGAGUCGGCCCCUAAGGCGAGGCUGAAAGCGUAGUCGAUGGGAACAGGUCAAUAUUCCUGUACCUCUUGGUAAUGCGAU
Molecule: ribosomal RNA, 499 nt
Filed under: uncultured bacterium
Lineage: Bacteria
Description: bacterial LSU rRNA
Rfam family: Bacterial large subunit ribosomal RNA
Source: RNAcentral